AGACUUCAUUUCUGCUCUUACAGGGCUUACAUUUGAGUGUUUUCUCUUCAAGAACCUGGACGUUUAGUCUAGGUUGUGUCUUCCGUGAGAAAGGCUGGCGUUGGGUAAGGCUGGAGAGAAACAGAUCUGAAGCCAAUCCCUGAGCCUCCUGGGCCAUACACUGUCCCACUAUUUCAAAAGAAACUCAGUGACGAGAGGGCAGAGGGAGAAUAUGUCCAGCAUCUCAGCCUCAUUGUUUUCCACUUGGCAGCCCCCUCCAGUUCAGGGAUUCAUUUGAAGAAGCCCACAGGGACGGGUGACACUGAGGAAACAAAACCCAGGCCCCCCGGCCUCCGACUGAGCCGUGCAGAGCAUGCUGGGAGAUCACCUCCACCUGAGGAGCACAAAAGACCCCAGGAGUGGAGGAAGCUGGCCUGAGGCCAACUGGAUGUAGCAGACUUGCUGAGCCCAAGGAGGGAGGUCUGGUGAUGGAGCCUCGAGUACAUAUCCUUCCAAUCCUAAGAAAAAACACAACAGGAAACUUAAAUGAAUGGCUCAAAGAAAUUGCAAACGUUUGCCCAGAUCAAGACCUAAGAUGUUAUUAGCUCCUUAGAAGUCUCGCUCCUGCCCUCUCUAAAUUGUUAUCCUUCAUCCAUACCUUUCCCCAAAAGUGGCCUCUUUCUGGAUUUUUAACAACAGUUUUGUCUGCUUUUUCACUUAAUAUAAAUAAAAUGCAUUCUUUUGUGGUUGAUUUAUUUUCCCGAACACUGUGUAUGUGAGCUUCCUUUCUGUUGUGUCUGAAGCUUUUGUUUGUUUAUCAUUGAAUGUCAUUUUGUUGUAUGAUGAUAUGAUUAUUGAUUGAUUCUUCUGUUGAGGGGUAUUUGAUUUAUUUGCGGGUUAAUGUGAAUAGUAUCAUUAUGAAUAUUCUUUUCCCUCUCUUGGUACACUCAUUUCUGUUAGGUAUGUACCUAGGAAGGGAAUUGCUCA
This is a long non-coding RNA of Homo sapiens (human), 966 nucleotides long. RefSeq lists it as uncharacterized. Lineage: Eukaryota; Metazoa; Chordata; Mammalia; Primates; Hominidae. The record is from RefSeq and is a predicted model, not a curated record. The transcript has 4 exons.